RNAcentral lists this ribosomal RNA (619 nucleotides) under uncultured bacterium. RNAcentral describes it as "bacterial SSU rRNA". It matches the Rfam family "Bacterial small subunit ribosomal RNA", at positions 338 to 960 of the family's 1533-position model. The record is from RNAcentral.
CCUACGGGAGGCAGCAGUGGGGAAUUUUGGACAAUGGGCGCAAGCCUGAUCCAGCAAUGCCGCGUGCAGGAUGAAGGCCUUCGGGUUGUAAACUGCUUUUGUACGGAACGAAACGGUCUGCUCUAAUACAGUGGGCUAAUGACGGUACCGUAAGAAUAAGCACCGGCUAACUACGUGCCAGCAGCCGCGGUAAUACGUAGGGUGCGAGCGUUAAUCGGAAUUACUGGGCGUAAAGCGUGCGCAGGCGGUUAUAUAAGACAGAUGUGAAAUCCCCGGGCUCAACCUGGGACCUGCAUUUGUGACUGUAUAGCUAGAGUGCGGCAGAGGGGGAUGGAAUUCCGCGUGUAGCAGUGAAAUGCGUAGAUAUGCGGAGGAACACCGAUGGCGAAGGCAAUCCCCUGGGCCUGCACUGACGCUCAUGCACGAAAGCGUGGGGAGCAAACAGGAUUAGGAUACCCUGGUAGUCCACGCCCUAAACGAUGUCAACUGGUUNUUGGGUCUUCACUGACUCAGUAACGAAGCUAACGCGUGAAGUUGACCGCCUUGGGGAAGUCGGCCGCAAGGUUGAAACCUUGAAGAGAGUUAGAGNGNGAGAGNGCGAGGACGACGACGAGGAGAG